RNAcentral lists this ribosomal RNA (426 nucleotides) under uncultured Gammaproteobacteria bacterium. RNAcentral's name for it is "bacterial SSU rRNA". It matches the Rfam family "Bacterial small subunit ribosomal RNA", at positions 356 to 774 of the family's 1533-position model. The record is from RNAcentral. Lineage: Bacteria; Pseudomonadati; Pseudomonadota; Gammaproteobacteria.
GGGGAAUUUUGGACAAUGGGCGAAAGCCUGAUCCAGCAAUGCCGCGUGUGUGAAGAAGGCCUUCGGGUUGUAAAGCACUUUUGUCCGGAAAGAAAUGGCUCUGGUUAAUACCUGGGGUCGAUGACGGUACCGGAAGAAUAAGGACCGGCUAACUACGUGCCAGCAGCCGCGGUAAUACGAAGGGUGCAAGCGUUAAUCGGAAUUACUGGGCGUAAAGCGCGCGUAGGUGGUUCGUUAAGUUGGAUGUGAAAGCCCCGGGCUCAACCUGGGAAAUGCAGCCAAAACUGGGGAGCUAGAGGAUGGCAGAGGGUGGUGGAAUUUCCUGUGUAGCGGGGAAAUGCGUAGAUAUAGGAAGGAACACCAGUGGCGAAGGCGACCACCUGGGCUAAUACUGACACUGAGGUGCGAAAGCGUGGGGAGCAAACA